GGGUUGUGAGGUUAAGCGAACAAGCGUACACGGUGGAUGCCCUGGCAGUCAGAGGCGAUGAAGGACGUGCUAAUCUGCGAAAAGCGCCGGUAAGGUGAUAUGAACCGUUAUAACCGGCGAUGUCCGAAUGGGGAAACCCGGUGCACUUCGGUGCAUCAUCGUUAGCUGAAUACAUAGGCUAACGAGGCGAACCGGGGGAACUGAAACAUCUAAGUACCCCGAGGAAAAGAAAUCAACCGAGAUUCCCCCAGUAGCGGCGAGCGAACGGGGAACAGCCCAGAGCCUGAAUCAGCUUGUGUGUCAGUGGAACGGUCUGGAAAGGCCGGCGAUACAGGGUGACAGCCCCGUACACGAAGGCACACAGGCUGUGAGCUCGAUGAGUAGGGCGGGACACGUGAUAUCCUGUCUGAAGAUGGGGGGACCAUCCUCCAAGGCUAAAUACUCCUGACUGACCGAUAGUGAACCAGUACCGUGAGGGAAAGGCGAAAAGAACCCCGGCGAGGGGAGUGAAACAGAACCUGAAACCGUGUACGUACAAGCAGUGGGAGCCUUCGUAAGAGGGUGACUGCGUACCUUUUGUAUAAUGGGUCAGCGACUUAUAUUCUGUAGCAAGGUUAACCGUAUAGGGGAGCCGAAGGGAAACCGAGUCUUAACCGGGCGUUAAGUUGCAGGGUAUAGACCCGAAACCCGGUGAUCUAGCCAUGGGCAGGUUGAAGGUUGGGUAACACUAACUGGAGGACCGAACCGACUAAUGUUGAAAAAUUAGCGGAUGACCUGUGGCUGGGGGUGAAAGGCCAAUCAAACCGGGAGAUAGCUGGUUCUCCCCGAAAGCUAUUUAGGUAGCGCCUCGUGAACUCAUCUCCGGGGGUAGAGCACUGUUUCGGCUAGGGGGCCAUCCCGGCUUACCAACCCGAUGCAAACUGCGAAUACCGGAGAAUGUUAUCACGGGAGACACACGGCGGGUGCUAACGUCCGUCGUGAAGAGGGAAACAACCCAGACCGCCAGCUAAGGUCCCAAAGUCAUGGUUAAGUGGGAAACGAUGUGGGAAGGCCCAGACAGCCAGGAUGUUGGCUUAGAAGCAGCCAUCAUUUAAAGAAAGCGUAAUAGCUCACUGGUCGAGUCGGCCUGCGCGGAAGAUGUAACGGGGCUAAACCAUGCACCGAAGCUGCGGCAGCGACACUUAUGUGUUGUUGGGUAGGGGAGCGUUCUGUAAGCCUGCGAAGGUGUGCUGUGAGGCAUGCUGGAGGUAUCAGAAGUGCGAAUGCUGACAUAAGUAACGAUAAAGCGGGUGAAAAGCCCGCUCGCCGGAAGACCAAGGGUUCCUGUCCAACGUUAAUCGGGGCAGGGUGAGUCGACCCCUAAGGCGAGGCCGAAAGGCGUAGUCGAUGGGAAACAGGUUAAUAUUCCUGUACUUGGUGUUACUGCGAAGGGGGGACGGAGAAGGCUAUGUCGGCCGGGCGACGGUUGUCCCGGUUUAAGCGUGUAGGCUGACUUUCCAGGCAAAUCCGGAAGGUUAAGGCUGAGGCGUGAUGACGAGGCACCACGGUGCUGAAGUGACAAAUGCCCUGCUUCCAGGAAAAGCCUCUAAGCAUCAGGUAACAUCAAAUCGUACCCCAAACCGACACAGGUGGUCAGGUAGAGAAUACCAAGGCGCUUGAGAGAACUCGGGUGAAGGAACUAGGCAAAAUGGUGCCGUAACUUCGGGAGAAGGCACGCUGACAUGUAGGUGAAGCCCCUGCGGGUGGAGCUGAAGUCAGUCGAAGAUACCAGCUGGCUGCAACUGUUUAUUAAAAACACAGCACUGUGCAAACACGAAAGUGGACGUAUACGGUGUGACGCCUGCCCGGUGCCGGAAGGUUAAUUGAUGGGGUUAUCGCAAGAGAAGCUCCUGAUCGAAGCCCCGGUAAACGGCGGCCGUAACUAUAACGGUCCUAAGGUAGCGAAAUUCCUUGUCGGGUAAGUUCCGACCUGCACGAAUGGCGUAAUGAUGGCCAGGCUGUCUCCACCCGAGACUCAGUGAAAUUGAACUCGCUGUGAAGAUGCAGUGUACCCGCGGCAAGACGGAAAGACCCCGUGAACCUUUACUACAGCUUGACACUGAACAUUGAGCCUUGAUGUGUAGGAUAGGUGGGAGGCUUUGAAGCGUGGACGCCAGUCUGCGUGGAGCCGACCUUGAAAUACCACCCUUUAAUGUUUGAUGUUCUAACCUGGCGCCGUGAUCCGGCGUGGGGACAGUGUCUGGUGGGUAGUUUGACUGGGGCGGUCUCCUCCCAAAGUGUAACGGAGGAGCACGAAGGUCAGCUAAUCCUGGUCGGACAUCAGGAGGUUAGUGCAAUGGCAUAAGCUGGCUUGACUGCGAGAGUGACGGCUCGAGCAGGUGCGAAAGCAGGUCAUAGUGAUCCGGUGGUUCUGUAUGGAAGGGCCAUCGCUCAACGGAUAAAAGGUACUCCGGGGAUAACAGGCUGAUACCGCCCAAGAGUUCAUAUCGACGGCGGUGUUUGGCACCUCGAUGUCGGCUCAUCACAUCCUGGGGCUGAAGUAGGUCCCAAGGGUAUGGCUGUUCGCCAUUUAAAGUGGUACGCGAGCUGGGUUUAGAACGUCGUGAGACAGUUCGGUCCCUAUCUGCCGUGGGCGCUGGAGAAUUGAGGGGGGCUGCUCCCAGUACGAGAGGACCGGAGUGGACGCAUCACUGGUGUUCGGGUUGUCAUGCCAAUGGCACUGCCCGGUAGCUAAAUGCGGAAGAGAUAAGUGCUGAAAGCAUCUAAGCACGAAACUUGCCCCGAGAUGAGUUCUCCCUGAGACUGUAAGUCUCCUGAAGGAACGUUGAAGACGACGACGUUGAUAGGCCGGGUGUGUAAGCGCAGCGAUGCGUUGAGCUAACCGGUACUAAUGAACCGUGAGGCUUAACCUUACAACGCCAAAGAAGU
RNAcentral lists this ribosomal RNA (2928 nucleotides) under Cronobacter sakazakii. RNAcentral describes it as "bacterial LSU rRNA". It matches the Rfam family "Bacterial large subunit ribosomal RNA". The record is from RNAcentral. Lineage: Bacteria; Pseudomonadati; Pseudomonadota; Gammaproteobacteria; Enterobacterales; Enterobacteriaceae.